GAUGAACGCUGGCGGCGUGCCUAGUACAUGCAAGUCGAGCGAACAGACGAGGAGCUUGCUCCUCUGACGUUAGCGGCGGACGGGUGAGUAACACGUGGAUAACCUACCUAUAAGACUGGGAUAACUUCGGGAAACCGGAGCUAAUACCGGAUAAUAUAUUGAACCGCAUGGUUCAAUAGUGAAAGACGGUUUUGCUGUCACUUAUAGAUGGAUCCGCGCCGCAUUAGCUAGUUGGUAAGGUAACGGCUUACCAAGGCGACGAUGCGUAGCCGACCUGAGAGGGUGAUCGGCCACACUGGAACUGAGACACGGUCCAGACUCCUACGGGAGGCAGCAGUAGGGAAUCUUCCGCAAUGGGCGAAAGCCUGACGGAGCAACGCCGCGUGAGUGUUGAAGGUCUUCGGAUCGUAAAACUCUGUUAUUAGGGAAGAACAAAUGUGUAAGUAACUAUGCACGUCUUGACGGUACCUAAUCAGAAAGCCACGGCUAACUACGUG
This 497-nucleotide ribosomal RNA is filed under the name uncultured bacterium. RNAcentral describes it as "partial 16S ribosomal RNA". It matches the Rfam family "Bacterial small subunit ribosomal RNA", at positions 28 to 507 of the family's 1533-position model. The record is from RNAcentral.